RNAcentral lists this transfer RNA (72 nucleotides) under Camelus bactrianus (Bactrian camel). It matches the Rfam family "tRNA". Rfam says of the family: Transfer RNA (tRNA) molecules are approximately 80 nucleotides in length. Their secondary structure includes four short double-helical elements and three loops (D, anti-codon, and T loops). Lineage: Eukaryota; Metazoa; Chordata; Mammalia; Artiodactyla; Camelidae. RNAcentral also lists the same sequence under 1 other name. The record is from Rfam by way of RNAcentral.
GAGGGUGUAGCUCAGUGGCAGAGCACAUGCUUAGCAUGCACGAGGCCAUGGGUUCCAUCCCCAGUACCUGCA